This 254-nucleotide ribosomal RNA is filed under the name uncultured bacterium. RNAcentral's name for it is "partial 16S ribosomal RNA". It matches the Rfam family "Bacterial small subunit ribosomal RNA", at positions 15 to 264 of the family's 1533-position model. The record is from RNAcentral.
GAUCAUGGCUCAGGAUGAACGCUAGCUACAGGCUCAACACAUGCAAGUCGAGGGGCAUCAGGAAGAAAGCUUGCUUUCUUUGCUGGCGACCGGCGCACGGGUGAGUAACACGUAUCCAACCUACCCUUUACUCGGGGAUAGCCUUUCGAAAGAAAGAUUAAUACCCGGAUGGCAUAAUGAUUCCGCAUGGUUUCAUUAUUAAAGGAUUCCGGUAAAGGAUGGGGAUGCGUUCCAUUAGGUUGUUGGUGAACGGG